GUGAACGCUGGCGGUAGGCCUAACCCAUGCAAGUCGAACGGCAGCACAGUAAGAGCUUGCUCUUACGGGUGGCGAGUGGCGGACGGGUGAGGAAUACAUCGGAAUCUACUUUUUCGUGGGGGAUAACGUAGGGAAACUUACGCUAAUACCGCAUACGACCUACGGGUGAAAGCAGGGGAUCUUCGGACCUUGCGCGAUUGCAUGAGCCGAUGUCGGAUUAACUAGUUGGCGGGGUAAAGGCCCACCAAGGCGACGAUCCGUAGCUGGUCUGAGAGGAUGAGCAGCCAAACUGGAACUGAGACACGGUCCAGACUCCUACGGGAGGCAGCAGUGGGGAAUAUUGGACAAUGGGCGCAAGCCUGAUCCAGCCAUACCGCGUGGGUGAAGAAGGCCUUCGGGUUGUAAAGCCCUUUUGUUGGGAAAGAAAAGCAGCAGGUUAAUACCCCGCUGUUCUGACGGUACCCAAAGAAUAAGCACCGGCUAACUUCGUG
This 491-nucleotide ribosomal RNA is filed under the name uncultured bacterium. RNAcentral's name for it is "partial 16S ribosomal RNA". It matches the Rfam family "Bacterial small subunit ribosomal RNA", at positions 29 to 507 of the family's 1533-position model. The record is from RNAcentral.